Long non-coding RNA from Bacillus rossius redtenbacheri, 2579 nucleotides. RefSeq lists it as uncharacterized. The record is from RefSeq and is a predicted model, not a curated record. The transcript is spliced from 3 exons. NCBI's taxonomy places the organism in Eukaryota, Metazoa, Arthropoda, Insecta, Phasmatodea, Bacillidae.
ACAUCGGGGUAGAGGGGGGGUAGUCUUCCCAGAUGUUCUAGUUAGUUGUUUAGUAAAUUUGACUUCAAUAACGAGCUUUUGUUAUGGUAGGCGCGGCAGGGCGCGCGAAUUUAAGCGCAAGUGAGUGGUGACUCGGGGCUCACUCAGGCGGAGGCUAUGCGUCUCACCUGUGGUCACGAGUUGUUAGUUCGUUCGUGAUGUAGGAAUUCAAGCUUUCGGGCGGAGGCUAUGGCCAACGCCAGAGGCCACGAGCCGUUUAAUUCGUAAUGUAGUUUAAGUUAGGUCAUAAUGUAGUCAUCUUCAAGCUUUCGGGCGGAGGCAAUGGCCCUCGUCACUAGUCGUUUAGUUAUAAUUUUUAAAAUGUAAUGUUCGUUCGGGAGUUCAAGGGCAGGAGAGGCCCCUACGUUAGUUUUAAGUAAUCGAUCAAGAAAGGCUUUUCGGAAAAUGUGAGUAUGGACUUAUCUUUGUUUUAAUUUUAAGUAUUAAUUAUGAUUUGAGGUAUUCGGAAGGACUAGGGAAGUGUUUAGUGAAGUUCUCUCAUUCUCUCUCUUGUAAGGUCGUUCAAUCGUUAAGGAAGUAAAGAGAUUAUUGUUUUAAAUUGUAAUCCCGCUAUUUAAAUGUUCUUUAAAAUGAUGUUGAGUAUUUGACUUUAAGAAUAAAAUAAUUUUAAUUAAGUAUUAUGUUAUUUUGCAAAAUCUCCUUAGUUCAGCUCUCACCAGACAUCCUGUACGGGAUGACGAACCUAUGAUCCUAGGUACAGUAAAGUAUUUUAUGAAGUUAAGACUAGUUGAUGCCAAGCGAGUUGUUUCUAUGUAAAGAGCUACGAUUCUCGCCCCCCCCCUCUGAAGGUGGAUCGUGACAGAAAUGGUGGAGGCGCCGGGUAGGUUCUAUUUCUGGAGAGAGAGAGAGGUAGAUUUUUAUGUUUAUUAUUAAGUUAGUUUCAGCUUCUGAUAGCAGGUUAUUAAGAGUUUACUUGAGGAGAGGAUUACGGAAUUUAAUCUAAGUGGAGGAAGUCUUUGAGAUUUUUUUUUGACGUAACAUAUGUUUAUUUGAGUAUACUUGUAAGGAUAAAGUUUAUAGUGAUAAGUUGUUUUAAGUCGUUGAGUUUAUCAGGGAUUUUUACGUGAGGAGAAUACGUUAUAAUUUAAAUGAUUAAUAGAGAUAAUGCAAGUGGUUUAAUUUAAUUGAAAUUAAUUUUAAGAUUGUAGGUUAAGAGAGUUAAAAUUUAAAAUAAAGUUUUUUUCGUAAAUAGGAAUUAUUUUCAAGUGAAGUUUGUUUUGCUGUCGUGCGCGUAGGAGACGAGACGUACGAAUUAAAUCAGUCGAGGGAAGGAUAAACGUUAGAAAGGAAUUAAAGAGAAAACGAGAGUUUAUGUAAAAGAGAGUUAUAGAAUUUAUAGUGAUGUUUUGUUUUAAUUAGAAAAAUGUUGAGAGUUGUUUCAGAACGACACGUCAGUGGACGUGGCAGAGUGAACACGUGACGGGGAGGUGCUGAGACCUAGCGGAGAACGGAGGAACCGCAAGCGAGGGUUGGCGCACCUGAUGGAAUUCGGUGACGUCACGGGCUCAUACGGAGACGUGGACAGGCCGUGACCUUGUUUUGAUCAGCUGUACGGUAACUUAGCGAUAAGAAAAUAGACUAUUGGUUAAAUAAAUUUAAAUUUAAGUGUGUUUUAGGAGAAGAGGAACUUUCAGUAUAUUCCUUAAGAUGAGCUGAGCAGCAGUCCAGUUUACAAGAUGACAAGAGUUCGAGAGACAAGAUACAAGAUCACUGAAACAAGAGCCAAGACUGAAGAUUCAAGAGAAGAGAAAGCUGGCAGCCAUGGACUUACAAGUGGAGAUUAAUAAGGUCAUGUAAAGUUUUAUUUUUUUUUAUGGAAGACAGUAACUGGAGUUUUUUUUUGUUAUAAACAUUAUUUACAGAACUUUUUAGGUUAUAGUAAUGUAAUGGAACUAGUGAGUUGUGGUAGCUGUCAAAAAGAACUAAUACCUUAAGUUUAAUUUUUAAAGUUAAUUUUCUUAAUUUACAGAGGGAUUAGUAGUUUUUUUUAAACCUUAUUUAGGUUGGAAUUUAAAUACACUAGCUUAUUAUAAAUGUGUACGAACAGUUCAAGUUCACAGUACUGAUAGGUAGGUCAGAUGAUCUUAUUGAUUUUGAUGAUUUGUUGUUUUGAGUUGAUUUUUAAGUGUUGUGAAUUAGACAAUGAAAUAGUUCUGAAAACUUAAAUUAUUUCAAGCUAAGAAAUAGUAAAGUUAAUUGUAACUCAAAGGACACCAGAAUUUAAUUUUUUUUGAAUUAGUAAUGUUUGAAAAUUUUAUACUUUACAAGAAAGGUUAUAAACAAACAGAUCGGAUGGAACAAGGAUGCAGUAAAUCACAAUUUCAUUUAGAAUUAUUGAUUAGCUUUUGAGGUUAUGAAGUAAAAGUAAUUAUAGUUUAAAAGUUUGAAUAAAAAAAAAUGUUUUUUUUUUAAUUUGUUUGAAAUAGAAAGUUUAAAAGUUAAUUAGUCAUGAUCUAGGUGGGUGAUGGGGUGGGAAUUGGCCACUCUUUUUCCCUAUAACCUCCCUAACAUGGCCUUCU